This 253-nucleotide ribosomal RNA is filed under the name uncultured bacterium. RNAcentral describes it as "partial 16S ribosomal RNA". It matches the Rfam family "Bacterial small subunit ribosomal RNA", at positions 524 to 776 of the family's 1533-position model. The record is from RNAcentral.
GACAGAGGGUGCAAACGUUGUUCGGAAUUACUGGGCGUAAAGCGCGUGUAGGCGGCCCUGCAAGUCGGGUGUGAAAUCCCACGGCUCAACCGUGGAAGUGCACUCGAAACUGCAGGGCUAGAGUCCUGGAGAGGAAGGUGGAAUGCUUGGUGUAGAGGUGAAAUUCGUAGAUAUCAAGCAGAACACCUGCGGCGAAGGCGGCCUUCUGGACGAUGACUGACGCUGAGACGCGAAAGCGUGGGGAGCAAACAGG